UACGGGGGGGGCAAGCGUUGUUCGGAAUUACUGGGCGUAAAGGGCUCGUAGGGGGCCAACUAAGUCAGACGUGAAAUCCCCAGGCUCAACUUGGGAACUGCGUCUGAUACUGGAUGGCUUGAAUUCGGGAGAGGGAUGCAGAAUUCCAGGUGUAGCGGUGAAAUGCGUAGAUAUCUGGAGGAAUACCGGUGGCGAAGGCGGCAUCCUGGACCGAGAUUGACACUGAUGAGCGAAAGCUAGGGGAGCAAACGGG
RNAcentral lists this ribosomal RNA (253 nucleotides) under uncultured bacterium. RNAcentral describes it as "partial 16S ribosomal RNA". It matches the Rfam family "Bacterial small subunit ribosomal RNA", at positions 524 to 776 of the family's 1533-position model. The record is from RNAcentral.